CCUACGGGUGGCAGCAGUGAGGAAUAUUGGUCAAUGGGCGUAAGCCUGAGCCAGCCAAGUAGCGUGAAGGAUGACUGCCCUACGGGUUGUAAAAUUCUUUUAUAAAGGAAUAAAGUGAGGCACGUGUGCCUUAUUGUAUGUACUUUAUGAAUAAGGAUCGGCUAAGUCCGUGCCAGCAGCCGCGGUAAUACGGAGGAUCCGAGCGUUAUCCGGAUUUAUUGGGUUGAAAGGGAGCGUAGAUGGGUUGUUAAGUCAGUUGUGAAAGUUUGCGGCUCAACCGUAAAAUUGCAAUUGAUACUGGCAGUCUUGAGUACAGUUGAGGUAGGCGGAAUUCGUGGUGUAGCGGUGAAAUGCUUAGAUAUCACGAAGAACUCCGAUUGCGAAGGCAGCUUACUAAACUGCCACUGACAUUGAUGCUCGAAAGUGUGGGUAUCAAACAGGAUUAGAUACCCCAGUAGUC
This 460-nucleotide ribosomal RNA is filed under the name uncultured bacterium. Its description in RNAcentral is "partial 16S ribosomal RNA". It matches the Rfam family "Bacterial small subunit ribosomal RNA", at positions 338 to 795 of the family's 1533-position model. The record is from RNAcentral.